Long non-coding RNA from Acanthopagrus latus (yellowfin seabream), 336 nucleotides. RefSeq lists it as uncharacterized. NCBI's taxonomy places the organism in Eukaryota, Metazoa, Chordata, Actinopteri, Spariformes, Sparidae. The transcript has 3 exons. The record is from RefSeq and is a predicted model, not a curated record.
CUCUGGGUCACGGGGUCAGAGGUCAUCAGAGGUCAGUGACCUUGUUCUCCACCAGGGCGGCGACCUGCUGCAACCGAUAGGCUAACUGCAUCUUCUGACCUGAACUGUCCUCCUCCAGGGACAUGAUGAUCUGAAAGACAGAGUUCGUGAAGAGCAACGAGACUGUUCAUCUCUGAAGCAAAACUCUGAAGACAGACAGGUCAGAGAGACAGACAGGUCAGAGAGACAGACAGGUCAGAGAGACAGACAGACAGGAAGGCAGCUGAGAGACAGACAGGCAGAGAGACAAACAGACAGGCAGACAGACAAAUCGUACCCGUCCCACUUUGUGCUCGG